RNAcentral lists this ribosomal RNA (388 nucleotides) under uncultured eukaryote. RNAcentral's name for it is "partial 18S ribosomal RNA". It matches the Rfam family "Eukaryotic small subunit ribosomal RNA", at positions 592 to 976 of the family's 1831-position model. The record is from RNAcentral.
CAAUAGCGUAUAUUAAAGUUGUUGCAGUUAAAAAGCUCGUAGUUGGAUUUCUGAUCGAGACAUCAGGUCGGGUCCGAGAGGAUCAUGUACUUUGAUUUUGUUUUGAUCAUCCUUGGGGAGAGCAUUUCUGGCAUUCAGUUGUCGGGAUUGGGAUCCUCAUCGUUUACUGUGAAAAAAUUAGAGUGUUCAAAGCAGGCCUCGGCCUCUGAAUACAUUAGCAUGGAAUAAUAAGAUAGGACUUUGGUGGUCUAUUUUGUUGGUUUGCACGCCAAAGUGAUGAUUAAUAGGGAUAGUUGGGGGUAUUCGUAUUCAAUUGUCAGAGGUGAAAUUCUUGGAUUUAUGGAAGACGAACUACUGCGAAAGCAUUUACCAAGGAUGUUUUCAUUAA